This 290-nucleotide long non-coding RNA is filed under the name Mytilus galloprovincialis (Mediterranean mussel). The record is from RNAcentral. Lineage: Eukaryota; Metazoa; Mollusca; Bivalvia; Mytilida; Mytilidae.
AAUGACACAGUGAACUGUUGUGAUUAUAAAGGAAAGAAAAUAUGGACAUUCAAAAAUGAAUCUACUAGGUGUCCGCGAGGUAUAACUGUGAAUAAUGAUCAGAAUGUAUAUGUUGUCAGUAGCAAUUCUAACAAUCUACCUCUUAUACAGCAUGACGGGAAAAGGAGUAUAGAGGUUCUUACUUCUAGUGACGAUUUGUUUUCGCCGUUCGCUUUAUGUUGCAACACGAAUUCGUUACUCUUAGGAUAUAAGAAAGGGAACAUGGCACUGUAUCAUGUAUCGGAAUAACA